UUCUGUGCUUCUGUUUUGUCCUUGUUGUAUCCCAGGUGAAGAUAAUUCCUGCACUUCAUACACAGUAGGCCCUUUUCUUCUGAGUACUGAGAUGUGCUUUACAAAGAAGCCAAGUAGUGCCAUCAUCUUUCAUCUGGGGAAACUGAGGAAAGAAAUGGUUCAGCAACUUUCCUUAAUUCAGAAAUAUACAUAAUACCUUUGAAGACCUGGAUUUGAGUAUCUCAGAGAAGAAUAGGUGAAGAGAGAAUAGACAUUUCCUCUACACUACUGCUUACUCUACUCCAUAAAAUCUUGUCUGUUGUAUUUUAAUAUAUUAUUAUACUCCUAUGUGAUAUAACGUUUUCCUCUCUGUAGAUAUAUAUAAUAAAAGUAAAGAGAAAAGGUAAGUUA
This is a long non-coding RNA of Alligator mississippiensis (American alligator), 390 nucleotides long. RefSeq lists it as uncharacterized. The transcript has 2 exons. The record is from RefSeq and is a predicted model, not a curated record. Lineage: Eukaryota; Metazoa; Chordata; Crocodylia; Alligatoridae.